CGCCCCGUGACCCCGCCCCCUCCGCGGGGCGCCCGAGCGCCUCUUGGGCCUGAGCCUUCCGCGCCCAGCCCUUUCCCUCUGCCCCUUCCCACACCCCGACCCACCCCAGGCCUCGCCUGGAAGCAGAGAAUUUCAGGAAUCUCAGAAACCUCAGAACACAGACAGCUCUACGGAGCGCCUACUGCGCGCCGAGCUCUGCGCAAGGCCCCGCGGGGACUUGGAGGCCCUGGCGACAGGGGCCUCUGGGUUCCAGCCCAGCCUCCCAGCUCCACAGUAAUGCCUUCUGAUGCCAGCAGAAGUCCCAUUCUCAUGCCAAUGGAGAGAUUAUGGGAGAAGAAUGUGCCUCCGUAGGGCCCCCAAGAACGGGCCCUGGGGACAGGGACGGGUCCCCGGAGUCCGUUCCAGACUGGCCUCCCAGGACCCAGCACUGGUUCCAGCCCCACACCCAGCAGUCCUGCACCUAGUUGCCGAGGUCCUGACGCCAGGCCUGAAGCUGGGUGAGCCGCACAGAGGCUGCGCAACC
RNAcentral lists this long non-coding RNA (523 nucleotides) under Canis lupus dingo (dingo). RNAcentral's name for it is "lncRNA (ENSCAFG00020004244.1)". The record is from RNAcentral. Lineage: Eukaryota; Metazoa; Chordata; Mammalia; Carnivora; Canidae.